AAACUGAUAGCAAGGCACCAAACUGAUUUUUUUUAUUUUAAUCAAAGCAUUUUUAUUAGAUUGAGUGAUUCGCGCAUGCGCAUUUUUUAAAAAGUUCUGGCGGAAACUUAUUUCCACCUCAAUCUUCCAUUGCAGAGGACGUUGUGAAAAAUAUCAGACCCCACGGCAUUUUGGUAACGUUAAGGAGAGCUGCCACAAGAUCCACUGUGUUCCUGCUGUGCAACUACCAGUUUGGAAGUCCCUCAUCUUAUUGUAUUAUCCAUGUAUGUGGAAAUGUAAACUACAGAAAAACAACAACCGUCAAACAAUAAAAGAAAAGAUGGCAAAGACGUUUGGAUACCGUAGACAAGAAAUAGUGCAUAAGCAGCCGAGCAUUGAAGACAUGUUGACAAGAUGGCCAGCACUUUUUCAGAUGGAAGAGGUAUGUUUUCAGAUGCAAGGCACUGUAAGCCUAUUUUUGAGAGGAGAGGGACUUAAUAUAUUUGUUAAUGCCAAUGGUGUUCAUGAGCAUUCAUGAAAGAUGAUUUUUUUUUAACCUUAAAAACUUAGGUCUUUUCAGAGGAGAAUUUAUUUAAUACACUUUUUAAAAGUUCUUUCUGCGUGCUCUGUUAUUGUUUCUCCAGAUUAAUGCUGAGUUCAUGCGGGUGACAACAGUACCCUUGGAGACAAAGUUCUUAGCGCAGUUGGACAAGCACACGUCAAAACUGCUGGAGGUCAUCAGGAGCAAGGGAGGGCGUGUGAAAGAGCUGACCAAGGCAACUUUGCAGGUUUUAGAUGAGACCGUGGACAUCACAAUUAGAAGAGAGUGCAUCUUCAAAUCUUUGAUGAUCUACCUGGGUGAACCUGUUCAUCAUCUCAUUAAAGACUGCCAGGAAAAUGAAGCAGCCAUGGUAAUCGUCAGUGGAAACGAGGACAUUAAAAUUGUCAUUGACAGAGGUCCUCAGAGAGGUGCCCACAAUAGCAACGGCUGUUGCUAUGUUCUUCGGGCUCACCUAUGUUCUCAACAUAAAUUAUCCCAAAAAUCUGCACUAUACCCUUGAGUUUGUGCAAAAGGUCCUGAUGAAGCUUGGUGGAAAAAAGAUGUCCCCAAAAAUUCAUAGGCUGAGUACCCAGCUUGGCAGCCAAGAGUAGGCACAGUAGAGUUCCACUGUUAGGCCUGAUUUAAUGGCAUUUCUACAACCAAGACUUUGCACCGUUUUAUCUGGGGUUGGUGUUUGAAACACGCACAACUACAUUUCUGCUACAGUAUGGACAAAAGAAUCUGCCUAAGGUUUCACAGGCACAAGUGGGUAUUGUGCUGGAGAGCACUGAUUUGUUUAUUGCAGCAUUUUCUGACCAAGAGGAUCAGGAGCUACCUCACUCGUUUGCAAGUUAUGGAACUGAGGACGUUCACACACAUCACUUUUGAUUUUAAGGAAUAAUUCCUCUCUGACUGUAUUACAUUGCAUUUUCAAAUGGUCACUGUUCAGUGAGAAAAAU
Molecule: long non-coding RNA, 1479 nt
Organism: Gasterosteus aculeatus aculeatus (three-spined stickleback)
Lineage: Eukaryota; Metazoa; Chordata; Actinopteri; Perciformes; Gasterosteidae
Source: Ensembl